Molecule: ribosomal RNA, 459 nt
Filed under: uncultured bacterium
Lineage: Bacteria
Description: bacterial SSU rRNA
Rfam family: Bacterial small subunit ribosomal RNA
Source: RNAcentral
UGGGGAAUCUUGGACAAUGGGGGCAACCCUGAUCCAGCCAUGCCGCGUGAGUGAUGAAGGCCUUAGGGUCGUAAAGCUCUUUCGCCUGUGAAGAUAAUGACGGUAGCAGGUAAAGAAACCCCGGCUAACUCCGUGCCAGCAGCCGCGGUAAUACGGAGGGGGUUAGCGUUGUUCGGAAUUACUGGGCGUAAAGCGCACGUAGGCGGACCAGAAAGUUGGGGGUGAAAUCCCGGGGGCUCAACCCCGGAACUGCCUCCAAAACUAUUGGUCUAGAGUUCGAGAGAGGUGAGUGGAAUUCCAAGUGUAGAGGUGAAAUUCGUAGAUAUUUGGAGGAACACCAGUGGCGAAGGCGGCUCACUGGCUCGAUACUGACGCUGAGGUGCGAAAGUGUGGGGAGCAAACAGGAUUAGAUACCCUGGGUAGUCCACGCCGUAAAACGAUGAAUGUUAGCCGUCGGGC